This 22-nucleotide microRNA is filed under the name Dasypus novemcinctus (nine-banded armadillo). RNAcentral's name for it is "dno-miR-487b-3p". Its record names the gene dno-miR-487b-3p. The record is from miRBase by way of RNAcentral. RNAcentral also lists the same sequence under 20 other names. Lineage: Eukaryota; Metazoa; Chordata; Mammalia; Cingulata; Dasypodidae.
AAUCGUACAGGGUCAUCCACUU